RNAcentral lists this long non-coding RNA (4207 nucleotides) under Podarcis lilfordi (Lilford's wall lizard). The stretch from base 1498 to 1555 matches the Rfam family "tRNA". Lineage: Eukaryota; Metazoa; Chordata; Lepidosauria; Squamata; Lacertidae. The record is from RNAcentral.
UACUAUAGUGCUUUAAAUGUAUGGUAUGGAAGCGGUCUUAGUCUAAUGAAAUGUUAACUUCAGUAAGAUUUUGCUGGCCAGAGAGGGACAAAAAUAUUGAGUGGGUAAAGGGUCUUGGUGCCAUGGGUUUUUUUCCCUUUAGCUUUCUUUCUAGAUGAAGGAGAGUAUGUGGAUAGGCUGUUGAGACUGAAUUAGGUGUGCAUAAUAUGUAUGGAAAAGAAUGUGGUGUGGCUGGCUAGCUGUGGAUAUGCCUUUGGCCAGCCCUCUGUGUGCAUGGGGUCCCUGGAAGGUUAGCUAUGAAGGAAUGCAGCCCUUGGGUUGAAAAACACAUCUCCACCCUUGAACUAUCAUAUACCACAAAUGACAAAUCAUAGGCGCCAUGUUGUCCGUUAUCUAGUCCAUGGGAGAAGUUAACCUGUGACAUAAUAGAGCCAUUUGAUUACCUAUAAAGCUUUAUAUGGCCCAGGACCUCAAUACCUUAAGGACCGCCUCUCUCAAUCCAAACCAAGCCAGAUCCUGCAAUUGUCAUCCAGUGCCCUUCUCCACAUUCUCCUGCCCCAAGGCGUUGACAAGACGAGAAUGAGCCUUUUCUGUGGUGGCUCCCUAUCUGUGGAAUGCUCUCCCCAGAGAGUCUUGUCUAAUGCCAGGUGAAAACAUUCCUCUUUACCCAGGCCUUUGACCAUUAAACAAGCUAUGGCCUUUUAAAUGUGGGGGGAUUGUUAUUAUGAUCCCCCCCCACCGUGAUUGUUUAAUUGUCUUUUGUUACUAUACAAUAUAAAUUAGGUUUUUAAUGUUGUACACUGCUGUGGGAUCUUCGGAUAAAGGGCAGUAUAUAAAUUGAAUAAUAAAAAUAAAUUAAUAAUAAUCAGUUAAUUGGACAAAUAGUUGCCCUAGUAUGAUAUGUUGUCAUUCAGAAGUGGUCUAAAAAUUACCAGAGAUGUUAAUUUAAUUCAUGCCUUUAGUUUUUGCUGGAAACAGUUCCUAAACACCUUGUGGUAUAUAUUGGGAUUUACCGGUAAUUAAUCUGUAUGGAAACGCAGAAAUACCUACACAAUAAUGGAAUUUCACGCAAAACUAUUUGCUUACACCAUCUAAGAUCCAAUGUUUCAGCUGAGAAAAAUAUCAGAUUGGGAAAAAAGAGAGCCUUCAUUUUGUUAGACAGGAAACGGUGACAUUUGGUGACUCCUUAUGAGCAUUGUCCUGGAGCUAAAGUAACCUCAUGAUCCAGACAAGUAUAACAAGUGUAACCGUUUCAAGUGGGUGCAGGAUAUCAAAGCAGUGUCAGUAGCAUACAUGGAACAAAAUGAAUUUAAGCACAGAAAGAAGUAAUAAAAAGGAUAUAGCUAUACCAGUCAAUUAUAUACAUUUUGCUGUAAUGAGGUAUGAAUAUCUGAAGACUAGCCUUGACCAGACAAUGAACUGCUGAAUAUGUGGAAUGGUGGGGUUUGGGAUCAUGGUGGCUCCUGACCUUCAUGUAUUUAAACAAAAUAUAGGUUGAGGGCCAUAGCUCAGUGGUAGAGCAUCUGCUUUGCAUGCAGAUUCUCAGGUGACUCCUGCCUGUAAAUGAGAAUACACCAUAGCUUCCUACGUGCCUAAAAUUGGAACAGAGCUUAUUCCUACACAACCCCAUACUCCCAUUCUAGGAGGUAAACUGUGUCUACUACAAAACCAUUUUUCAGUACGUACUGUAUUGUGAUCUGUUUGAGAAGUUAGAUACAGUUCUGCUGUAGAUGUAAUGCCUUCCACAGCAUAUUUGAGAAACUUGCUUGCUUUUGGACCACAAAUUGUAACUUACAAGCAUGCAAUUUGUGAGCACUGUGACUGUAGUAAGAAAAAUAAGUACAGCAUUAGGAAUGGUCAUGGCUGUCACCUUUACUACAGUAUGAAGCAAUAAGACUUAAUGGUUUUCCAGCUCCCACAAGGCCAUGUGAGUCAUUUAGGUCUACUUUGCUAAGAUUACAUGUUUUUCUAAGACAAUUUUGGUUGUUCCAUCCUACUCUAACACACCUUAACAAGUAGAAUUGUAGACUAUAAUUAUUAUUUUCUAUAUUUAUUUUUCAGGGAUUUAUUAAGGAGUGUAUGUUUGUGUAAAAUGGUGAAUACAUCUAUGCUCUAAAUUUAAAAUGGUUUAUAUAAUCAUCAACGUACCCUGGCAAGGGAACUAUAGCUCUGUGGGGGAGGGAUAGACAGCUUAGUUUGUGCAAACUACAAUUUCCAGGAUUAUCUGGGAGAAGCUGCAAAAGUUAAACUGCUGUAAAACUGAUAAUUUUAUGGAAAUGCCACUACUGGGUCUAUUAGCUUGGUCCAGGCAUUAGAUUCUGGCCUUUUGGUGGUUCCCUGAACUAAAUUCUGUGCUUCUGAAUCCUGGAACUUGGAUCUAUUGUCAUAACUUUUUCUGAAGCACAGUUUGAACUGGUGCAUAUUUACUGAUUUGCAGAUGCUCUGUCAGUGAGCCAUGUCCCUUCCUUUGCAUAAUGACAGUCAUUGCUGAAAAUCAGCACAGAUUGAUUCAGAGAACCACAAAAGUUACAUGGUAAGAAGUUUGAAAGAAUCGGGAGUUUUAAACUGUUAUACUUUUAAGAGAGGCUGCUCAUAGCUCAACAAAAGGAUGUCAAGAGUCUUGCAACUGUGGGGAGUUUGUAAUGCAGACUCCACCUGCUGUAAAUGUCUGGCCCAUUAGGUUUGCAAUCCUAUACACACUUACCUGGGAGUAUGUCUCAAUGGGAUUCACUUCUGAGUAGACACAUAUGGGAUUACGAUCUAAGAAGCGUGGCAGGUUACAUAUUGCUGGAAAAGAGGAAAAGCUUCAUCAAAAAAGAGAAUAAAAGAGAAGAACAAAUUGCAUCAGAUUUGAAAUAGAAAUACAAUAUAUUUCACCAUAAUGGAGAAGACUAAACAGGUGACUUGCACGGCUGCUCAGGUGAUUCUUUAUCUUUAUCUUUCUUUAUCUUAUCAGACUUGACCCCAAUAAUCCUUCAAAUAGAGAACUCUGUUAGGCUGAGGGCUGCCCUCUGUAAUGGAGGAUGCAAAGCCCUCUUAGGCCUAGGAGUUGGGUCACAGCCUGCUUUGAGUCUGCCUGGAUUCAAAAUGCUUCUGUCAUUUUCCUGCCAGCCGCCUCUUCUCUUUGCAAGCCAAAAAAAGCCAAACUUUGGGAUAGGGUAACAGACUCCUUUUUACACAGGUGAAGGCAGCUACCCUUGGCAGGAAAUGACACUCUGAGCAACACCAUUUUCUACCGAAGGAUCGUGGGACGUAGUUUUCUGUCUUCAGGUCACUUGGUCCCUCAGCAGGAAGUGAUGUUCCACACAGUAUUUACAGUUAAGGAGAGGGCUAGCGAGGAAAGGAGCCCUCAGCUGUCAACUAGUCCCUUCCCCAAGUCAGUUUUUUUGACUUGAAGAAGGUGGGGUGACUGGUAAGGAAGGAGGGAGUAAAAUAAAAUAAAGUAUCAGCUGGUCAUGUUCAGGUGUUCAUAUUUAAUGUUUCAGGCAGGGUCGGAUUUAGGUUUCAUGAGGCCCUAAGCUACUGAAGGUAAUGGGACCCUCUAUAUGUCUAGCUGUCCUUUGUCAACAACAAAGUGUCUCUGUUUUUUUGGUUGAAUAUAUGCUAUAUGGUAAUUUAUGGACCUAAUAGGUAUCUAAAGCCAUUUGCACAAGUUGCCAUGUAACCAGUCCAUGCAGAAUGUUGAAAUGAGCAAACCAGCGAUAUUUUAGGGAGCAGGCGGGGCCCAUUAUUUAUAUCAUAGGAGCCUACACAACAUAAAACACAGUUGCUGUAUGUAGGUUUUAUUUUAUUUGUUUCUUAUCUUAUAUUUUGGAAAUGUACAUCCCGUUUUUUUCCCUUUAAUUUUUUUUGGGGCCCCCAAGAGUGUGGGACCCUAAGCUAUAGCUUGUUUAGCUUAUACGUAAAUCUGGCACUGGUUUCAGAAAUGCUCAAAUGUCCAAAAAGCUUAAUUUAUUUUCAGGGCAGUUUGUGGAAGAUGCUCAUUAUAGAGUGGUCUUGCUGCAUUUCUGCAGUUGUGAUUGCUGCCUGCUGAGUUCAGACUGAGCUAUAUUUAGACGAAUGAUGUGGGUGGUAAAAGUGACACCCAGUACUGUAGGAAACAAGUCUCCUCACGUGUAUUCUCGGCAGCCUUCCAGGUAAUCAUUCUUACCCAUAGCUACAAAUACUGGGUAGGACUUGAAGUGUGGAAAUUAGGUUUCCAAAUAUC